Molecule: long non-coding RNA, 868 nt
Filed under: Bos indicus x Bos taurus (hybrid cattle)
Lineage: Eukaryota; Metazoa; Chordata; Mammalia; Artiodactyla; Bovidae
Description: lncRNA (ENSBIXG00005010893.1)
Source: RNAcentral
AGCAGUAGCAUCACAUAUGCUUGGGGAGACUGAGUAGAACAUCUCCUGUGACGUGCCUCACCCCAUCUUUCCACCCAAAAUUGAAGACAAUCUGAUAUGCUGAUGAUGGCUACACGUAGAGUGCCUGGAUUCAUCUGCAUUGAAACUCCUUGAGAAUUUUGAUAGGUUGAGCCAAAACAGAAUAAUGAAAUGAACCCUUCUAGGCAGGAAGGCAGAAACAGACAUAAAAGAUGAUUUCUCUGUGUUAUCUGGCCUUUAUGGAAAGAACCAUGAUGAGCUUCCAGAAAAUGCAUUAUUGAUGUGAUGUAAUAAGGCAGGGGUUUUAACAUCUUCAUCCUGGAAAAUUGGAGUCCUUCCCAUGGAAUGUGUGUGUUGAGCUUAGCAGAGACAGCCCUUUCCACUCUGGAGGUAAGACUGGGAAAAUUUGAGUCCAGAGCCCUCUGCUGCCUCUGGGCCCACUGCCUGUCCAAACACACCUGCAGGAGGAGAGAAGGACCUUGUUACAAACAAGAGAAGAGGAGAUCAAAGCAGCUGCAUCAUCUCAUUAACCUUCACCCCCAGAGAAGAUGGCAAGGAAAACUUAGAAACAAACAAAAUCAAGCCACUCUUCCUGCCUUCAGUGGAGCUUCAAACCAGAGGAUGUUACCUGGAACACACUGGAGAGUCAUAACCUUGGAGCACUGGCAGCAAUUGGUGUCAACAAAGAUAAUGAAAAAUGAACUGGGAUUCCAACAUCUGUGAACCAGGUCUCCCCUGGAGCUGACAUGGAAGUUGGAGACAGGUAGACAACGCCUGGUCUUUUCAAGGUGCUGAGCUAAAAAGUCUUCAUAGACAUCAGUAUCAUUGCAUGUAUUUUCUUCUGGAAACA